AUGGCGGAGCCCGACACCAUGGACCACCGCGUAAGAAUGGAUGACAUACAUGCACACGUUUUUAGGUCCGUGCUUGACUUUAUCUACACCGACGAGCUGCCCGAGCACUUGGGAAACACCACGACGAUGGCCUGGGGCAUGCUGGCCGUGGCGGACCGGUUCGGCCUAGAGAGGAUGAAGGCCAUGUGCGAGAACAUACUAUGCGAGCACGUCACAGCGAAGAAUGUGGUGGGCACAUUGAAGCUGGCGGACCGCCACCUUUGCCAGGGGCUCAAGGACUUCUGCAUGGAGCACAUCUCGCAGCCGCAUGUGCUCAAGGAAGUGGUGGAAACUAAGGGGUUCAAGGAUCUCAAAACCACAUGUCCGUCGCUUCUAGAGGAGAUCAUCAUCAAAAUCUCCAAACUGUCAUCGUCGGAUGGGUAG
Molecule: ribosomal RNA, 423 nt
Filed under: Triticum aestivum (bread wheat)
Lineage: Eukaryota; Viridiplantae; Streptophyta; Magnoliopsida; Poales; Poaceae
Description: partial small subunit ribosomal RNA
Source: RNAcentral